GAUAAACGCUGGCGGCAUGCCUAAUACAUGCAAGUCGAACGGAAGUAGCAAUACUUCAGUGGCGAACGGGUGAGUAACACGUAAGUAACCGACCUUAAAGACGAGGAUACCCCCUGGAAACGGGGGCUAAAACUGGAUAGGACGAGAGAUCAAAAGAACUUUCGUUUAAAGGUGCAACUGCACUGCUUUAAGCCGGGCUUGCGGCGCAUUAGCUAGUUGGUGAGAUAACAGCCCACCAAGGCAACGAUGCGUAGCAGCGCUGAGAGGCGGAACUGCCACACUGGGACUGAGACACGGCCCAGACUCCUACGGGAGGCAG
RNAcentral lists this ribosomal RNA (319 nucleotides) under uncultured Chloroflexota bacterium. RNAcentral's name for it is "bacterial SSU rRNA". It matches the Rfam family "Bacterial small subunit ribosomal RNA", at positions 28 to 351 of the family's 1533-position model. Lineage: Bacteria; Bacillati; Chloroflexota. The record is from RNAcentral.